This 1070-nucleotide ribosomal RNA is filed under the name Endophragmiella dimorphospora. RNAcentral's name for it is "SSU rRNA". It matches the Rfam family "Eukaryotic small subunit ribosomal RNA", at positions 46 to 1128 of the family's 1831-position model. Lineage: Eukaryota; Fungi; Ascomycota; Sordariomycetes; Sordariales; Helminthosphaeriaceae. The record is from RNAcentral.
UAACCAUGCAUGUCUAAGUAUAAGCAAUUAUACCGCGAAACUGCGAAUGGCUCAAUAAAUCAGUUAUCGUUUAUUUGAUAUGUACCUGCUACAUGGAUAACCGUGGUAAUUCUAGAGCUAAUACAUGCAAAAGCCUCGACUUCGGAAGAGGUGUAUUUAUUAGAUUAAAAACCAACGCCCUUCGGGGCUCUUUGGUGAUUCAUGAUAACUUGUCGAAUCGCAUGGCCUUGUGCUGGCGAUGGUUCAUUCAAAUUUCUGCCCUAUCAACUUUCGACGGCUGGGUCUUGGCCAGCCGUGGUGACAACGGGUAACGGAGGGUUAGGGCUCGACCCCGGAGAAGGAGCCUGAGAAACGGCUACUACAUCCAAGGAAGGCAGCAGGCGCGCAAAUUACCCAAUCCCGACACGGGGAGGUAGUGACAAUAAAUACUGAUACAGGGCUCUUUUGGGUCUUGUAAUUGGAAUGAGUACAAUUUAAAUCCCUUAACGAGGAACAAUUGGAGGGCAAGUCUGGUGCCAGCAGCCGCGGUAAUUCCAGCUCCAAUAGCGUAUAUUAAAGUUGUUGAGGUUAAAAAGCUCGUAGUUGAACCUUGGGCCUGGCCGGCCGGUCCGCCUCACCGCGUGUACUGGUUCGGCCGGGUCUUUCCUCUUGGAGAACCUCAUGCCCUUCACUGGGUGUGCUGGGGAACCAGGACUGUUACUCUGAACAAAUUAGAUCGCUUAAAGAAGGCCUAUGCUCGAAUACUCUAGCAUGGAAUAACGGAAUAGGACGCGUGGUUCUAUUUUGUUGGUUUCUAGGACCACCGUAAUGAUUAAUAGGGACAGUCGGGGGCAUCAGUAUUCAAUCGUCAGAGGUGAAAUUCUUGGAUCGAUUGAAGACUAACUACUGCGAAAGCAUUUGCCAAGGAUGUUUUCAUUAAUCAGGAACGAAAGUUAGGGGAUCGAAAACGAUCAGAUACCGUUGUAGUCUUAACCAUAAACUAUGCCGAUUAGGGAUCGGACGACGUUAUUCUUUGACUCGUUCGGCACCUUACGACAAAUCAAAAUGUUUGGGCUCCUGGGGGAGUAAGG